AUAGUUAUUAAAAAUUUGUUUAAUGUUGUACAGGAGAAAGUAGACUAUUUGAAAUUUGUUUAAAUAAAGUUUGUGAAAUUAAUGUGAAAUAAUAAAUUGAUUAAGAAAAAUAUUAGUUUACCUUUUGUAUAAGGGGGUGUUAAAAUAAUUUUUAUUAUAAAAUCCCGAAAUAAAAGGAGUUAGUUAUUUUUUUUAUUUAAUGUGGCAUUAUUUAAAUUAAUAAUAUGCUAGAGUUGAAACGAUAUUCUGCUUUUAUGAUAUCUGGUUGUUAUCAGAUUAAAUUUAUUUAGUUUGAUUUAUGGUUUCUUAUAUUUACAAUAAGGGGUUAUGGGUUGAGUAAUGCCUAAAGGGACAAUCUUUUAGGUAGAGUAUUUAAUAAUUAUUUAAAAUUAAUAAAAUUUUAGUAGGCUUAAGAACAGCUAUCUUUUAAAAUUAAGUUAUAUUAACUUUGGGGAGUUGAUUAGAUUUAUUAAGAAAUUUUAUUUAGAAGAUAACUUUACUGUUAAACAAGCUUUAAGUAUAAAUACUGACAUUAUUAGUAAUAGAAAUUUUAUUUUGUAAUGGUUUAGCUAGUAGUGUGCUUUAUGAAUUCGACAAGAUUAUUAAAGACUGUUUAACAAAAACAUUUCUUUUCGGUUAAAUGAAAAGUAAAACCUGCCCACUGAUUAAAUUUGAAGGGCCGCGGUAUUUUGACCGUGCAAAGGUAGCAUAAUCAUUAGCCUCUUAAUUAGAGGAUGGAAUGAAUGGUUUAACUUUAAUAAAUUUUAUUAGGUUUAUUUUUGAAUUUAGGUUGUAAGUGAAAAUACUUAUAUUGUUCUAUAAGACGAUAAGACCCUAUAGAUCUUUAUUCUGAUUUUAUUAGUUAAUUUGGGGGAAUUAACUAGUAGAUUGAGGAUUUUAGCUGGGGCAGCUUAAGAAAUAGGACAAACUUCUUAUUACACGGAUUUAUUCAAAUUAGUUAAUCUAAGUUGGUAAAAGGAAAAAGUUACCUUAGGGAUAACAGCGUAAUCAAUUUAGAGAGCUCAUAUCGAUAAAUUGGAUUGCGACCUCGAUGUUGAAUUAAGAAACCUAGUUAGGGCAGCUUUUWACUAAGGUGGUUUGUUCAACCAUUAAAUUCUUACAUGAUUUGAGUUCAGACCGGCGUGAGCCAGGUUGGUUUCUAUCUUUAGAUGGUUAAGAUGGCAUUUAGUACGAAAGGAUUAGUGGUUAUAAAAAUUUUAAUAGUUUGUUUAAAUUUCAUUUUAUACUCUGG
This 1252-nucleotide ribosomal RNA is filed under the name Ceratophysella communis. Its description in RNAcentral is "16S ribosomal RNA". Lineage: Eukaryota; Metazoa; Arthropoda; Collembola; Poduromorpha; Hypogastruridae. The record is from RNAcentral.